UCGAGAAUCUUCCGCAAUGGACGAAAGUCUGACGGAGCGACGCCGCGUGCGGGAUGAAGGCCCUUGGGUUGUAAACCGCUUUCGGAGGGGAUGAAAUCCUCGAGGGUACUCCCUCGAGGUUGACAGAGCCUCAAAAGAAGCACGGGCUAAGUACGUGCCAGCAGCCGCGGUAACACGUACUGUGCGAACGUUAUUCGGAAUCACUGGGCUUAAAGGGUGCGUAGGCGGCGAUUCAAGUCAGAUGUGAAAU
RNAcentral lists this ribosomal RNA (250 nucleotides) under uncultured bacterium. RNAcentral describes it as "partial 16S ribosomal RNA". It matches the Rfam family "Bacterial small subunit ribosomal RNA", at positions 355 to 600 of the family's 1533-position model. The record is from RNAcentral.